Long non-coding RNA from Malaclemys terrapin pileata, 873 nucleotides. RefSeq lists it as uncharacterized. The record is from RefSeq and is a predicted model, not a curated record. NCBI's taxonomy places the organism in Eukaryota, Metazoa, Chordata, Testudines, Emydidae. The transcript has 3 exons.
AGUGGAAAAUUUCAGGAGAUGGCAAAUUUCCAUCGCUAAAGUCUGAAUUCUAAGCCCAGUCCGCCUGGCUUGAAAAGCAUCAUAAAGCUCCUUGUACACUCACAAAAAGAGGGGAAUAGUGAGUUUCCCUCUGGAAGCUGAGAAGUUAAAAUCGGGGGAUCAUUUAGGAGCCCACCAGAAACCAAGUCUCAUUUCAGUGGCUGGGGCCCUUGGAGCAGGAGUCCUGGGAGGGACAUGGGAGCCCAGAAGAAGAGGACGGGUGGAUCACUGGCCUGCAGAGGGCGCUCCAGAGGCUGGAGAGCUAAUUCCCUGGAUGACCAGCAGGAGGUGCUGCAGGGCUGCAAAUUUUUCAAGCCUCCCUCCUCUGUCCCGAAGGCUAUCUGAGAUAAGGCAGUGGAAAAAAAUGCACGUGAGACGAAAUGUUCUCGGAAAUCAUGCAAUCGACCCGCGAUGAAAGAGCUCAUCUGAAUGAGUGGAAGGACACCCUAUCCCAGUACAGGAAAGCUGCCAGUGAACGUGAGGCCAUGAGGGACAAACGUGAGGAGAGGAGGGGCGCUCGAGAUGAGAGAUGGCGGGAUGCAUCGCUGGGGCUGCUGCGUGAGCAAAUGGACAUGCUCCGGCAUCUGGUGGAGCUUCAGGAAUGGCAGCAGGAUCACAGAGUGCUGCUGCAGCCCCUGUAUAAUCGCCCUCCCCCCUCACCAUGUUCCAUAGCCUCCUCACCCAGACGUGUAAGAAUGCGGGGAGAGGGGGAGGCUCCGUGCACCCUCCCACUCCACCCGGGGACAGCCCAAGCAAAAGGCUGUCAUUAUUUUGAACUUUUGAAGUGGCCUUUUCCUUCCCUCCUAUCCUCCUCCCAAACUCCACCCGGGCUAC